Molecule: ribosomal RNA, 468 nt
Filed under: uncultured bacterium
Lineage: Bacteria
Description: partial 16S ribosomal RNA
Rfam family: Bacterial small subunit ribosomal RNA
Source: RNAcentral
GACGAACGCUGGCGGCGUGCUUAACACAUGCAAGUCGAACGGAAAGGCCCUGCUUUUGUGGGGUGCUCGAGUGGCGAACGGGUGAGUAACACGUGAGUAACCUGCCCUUGACUUUGGGAUAACUUCAGGAAACUGGGGCUAAUACCGGAGAGGAGCUCCUGAUGCACGGUGGGGGUUGGAAAGUUUCGGCGGUUGGGGAUGGACUCGCGGCUUAUCAGCUUGUUGGUGGGGUAGUGGCUUACCAAGGCUUUGACGGGUAGCCGGCCUGAGAGGGUGACCGGCCACAUUGGGACUGAGAUACGGCCCAGACUCCUACGGUAGGCAGCAGUCGGGAAUAUUGCACAAUGGGCGGAAGCCUGAUGCAGCAACGCCGCGUGCGGGAUGACGGCCUUCGGGUUGUAAACCGCUUUCGCCUGUGACGAAGCGUGAGUGACGGUAAUGGGUAAAGAAGCACCGGCUAACUACGUG